This 1515-nucleotide ribosomal RNA is filed under the name Yazd(Iran) squash phyllody phytoplasma. RNAcentral describes it as "bacterial SSU rRNA". It matches the Rfam family "Bacterial small subunit ribosomal RNA". The record is from RNAcentral. Lineage: Bacteria; Bacillati; Mycoplasmatota; Mollicutes; Acholeplasmatales; Acholeplasmataceae.
AGAGUUUGAUCCUGGCUCAGGAUUAACGCUGGCGGCGUGCCUAAUACAUGCAAGUCGAACGGAAACCUUCGGGUUUUAGUGGCGAACGGGUGAGUAACACGUAAGCAACCUACCCUAAAGACGAGGAUAACCAUUGGAAACAGUGGCUAAGACUGGAUAGGAAGAUAAAAGGCAUCUUUUAUCUUUUAAAAGACCUAGUAACAGGUAUGCUUUAGGAGGGGCUUGCGCCAUAUUAGUUAGUUGGUAGGGUAAUGGCCUACCAAGACGAUGAUGUGUAGCUGGACUGAGAGGUUGAACAGCCACAUUGGGACUGAGACACGGCCCAAACUCCUACGGGAGGCAGCAGUAGGGAAUUUUCGGCAAUGGAGGAAACUCUGACCGAGCAACGCCGCGUGAAUGACGAAGUACUUCGGUAUGUAAAGUUCUUUUAUCAAGGAAGAAAAGCAAAUGGCGAACCAUUUGUUUGCCGGUACUUGAUGAAUAAGCCCCGGCUAAUUAUGUGCCAGCAGCCGCGGUAAGACAUAAGGGGCAAGUGUUAUCCGGAAUUAUUGGGCGUAAAGGGUGCGUAGGCGGUCUAGUAAGUCAGUGGUGUAAUGGCAACGCUUAACGUUGUCCGGCUAUUGAAACUACUAAACUUGAGUUAGAUAGAGGCGAGUGGAAUUCCAUGUGUAGCGGUAAAAUGCGUAAAUAUAUGGAGGAACACCAGAGGCGUAGGCGGCUCGCUGGGUCUUAACUGACGCUGAGGCACGAAAGCGUGGGGAGCAAACAGGAUUAGAUACCCUGGUAGUCCACGCCGUAAACGAUGAGUACUAAGUGUCGGGUUAAACCGGUACUGAAGUUAACACAUUAAGUACUCCGCCUGAGUAGUACGUACGCAAGUAUGAAACUUAAAGGAAUUGACGGGACUCCGCACAAGCGGUGGAUCAUGUUGUUUAAUUCGAAGAUACCCGAAAAACCUUACCAGGUCUUGACAUGUUUUUGCGAAAUGAUAGUAAUAUCGUGGAGGUUACCAGAAACACAGGUGGUGCAUGGUUGUCGUCAGCUUGUGUCGUGAGAUGUUAGGUUAAGUCCUAAAACGAGCGAAACCCUUAUCGUUAGUUGCCAGCACGUUAUGGUGGGGACUUUAACGAGACUGCCAAUGAUAAAUUGGAGGAAGGUGAGGAUCACGUCAAAUCAGCAUGCCCCUUAUGACCUGGGCUACAAACGUGAUACAAUGGCUGUUACAAAGGGUAGCUGAAACGCAAGUUCUUGGCCAAUCCCCAAAAACAGUCCCAGUCCGGAUUGAAGUCUGCAACUCGACUUCAUGAAGUUGGAAUCGCUAGUAAUCGCGAAUCAGCAUGUCGCGGUGAAUACGUUCUCGGGGUUUGUACACACCGCCCGUCAAACCACGAAAGUUGGCAAUACCCCAAAACGGUAGCCUAACUCGUUUAUUCGAGAGGGCGCCGUCUAAGGUAGGGUCGAUGAUUGGGGUUAAGUCGCAACAAGGUAUCCCUACCGGAAGGUGGGGAUGGAUCA